AGGAUAAACGCUGGCGGCGUGCAUGAGACAUGCAAGUCGAACGGACGAUUCGGGCUUGCUCGAAUCGUUAGUGGCGGACGGCUGAGUAACGCGUAGGUGACCUGCCCCGAAGUGGGGAAUAACUGCCCGAAAGGGUGGCUAAUACCGCAUGUGGUCGCACGUUCAUUCGUGCGAGUAAAGCCGCAAGGCGCUUCGGGAGGGGCCCGCGUCCGAUUAGCUCGUUGGUGGGGUAAUGGCUCACCAAGGCGACGAUCGGUAGGUGGUCUGAGAGGAUGAUCAGCCACACUGGGACUGAGACACGGCCCAGACUCCUACGGGAGGCAGGCAGUGGGGAAUCUUGCCCAAUGGGCGCAAGCCUGAGGCAGCAACGCGCGUGCGGGAGAAGGCCCUCGGGUUGUAAACCGCUUUCAGCAGGACGAAAAUGACGGUACCUGCAGAAGAAGGUGCGGCCAACUACGUGCCAGCAGCCGC
RNAcentral lists this ribosomal RNA (471 nucleotides) under uncultured bacterium. RNAcentral's name for it is "SSU rRNA". It matches the Rfam family "Bacterial small subunit ribosomal RNA", at positions 26 to 518 of the family's 1533-position model. The record is from RNAcentral.